This is a non-coding RNA of Pelobates cultripes (western spadefoot toad), 241 nucleotides long. The record is from the annotation of a GenBank genome assembly. NCBI's taxonomy places the organism in Eukaryota, Metazoa, Chordata, Amphibia, Anura, Pelobatidae.
GUGCAAGAAUGUGUAAAUGUCUGUCAUUGAGUGUGUGUGUCUGUCUGGAAGAACAGACAGAGCUCCCUCGCUGAUGCCAGCUUCCUCUCCACCCCGGCCAGGCACAUUUUAGCAGAGUGGGUACCUGCAAUGUCAAACUCGCGGCUCGCCAGGCUGUAAAGAGAUUCAUUGUGGGCCGCAUGCGGCCCGUGGUCCGCGAGUUUGACAUGCUUGCUGUAGGUCUUCCUCAUUCUGCUAAAAC